Molecule: ribosomal RNA, 98 nt
Filed under: Maxillaria carinata
Lineage: Eukaryota; Viridiplantae; Streptophyta; Magnoliopsida; Asparagales; Orchidaceae
Description: partial 18S ribosomal RNA
Rfam family: Eukaryotic small subunit ribosomal RNA
Source: RNAcentral
CCGCCCGCGACUCGGCGAGAAGUCCAUUGAACCUUAUCAUUUAGAGGAAGGAGAAGUCGUAACAAGGUUUCCGUAGGUGAACCUGCGGAAGGAUCAUU